RNAcentral lists this ribosomal RNA (497 nucleotides) under uncultured bacterium. Its description in RNAcentral is "partial 16S ribosomal RNA". It matches the Rfam family "Bacterial small subunit ribosomal RNA", at positions 28 to 507 of the family's 1533-position model. The record is from RNAcentral.
GAUGAACGCUGGCGGCGUGCCUAAUACAUGCAAGUCGAGCGAACGGACGAGAAGCUUGCUUCUCUGAUGUUAGCGGCGGACGGGUGAGUAACACGUGGAUAACCUACCUAUAAGCCUGGGAUCACUUAGGGAAACCGGAGCUAUUACCGGAUAAUCUUUUGACCCGCAUGGAUCAAAACUGAAAGACGGUCUUGCUGACACUUAUAGAUGGAUCCGCGCUGCAUUAGCUAGUUGGUAGGGUAACGGCUUACCAAGGCAACGAUGCAUAGCCGACCUGAGAGGGUGAUCGGCCACACUGGAACUGAGACACGGUCCAGACUCCUACGGGAGGCAGCAGUAGGGAAUCUUCCGCAAUGGGCGAAAGCCUGACGGAGCAACGCCGCGUGAGUGAUGAAGGUCUUCGGAUCGUAAAACUCUGUUAUUAGGGAAGAACAUAUGUGUAAGUAACUGUGCACAUCUUGACGGUACCUAAUCAGAAAGCCACGGCUAACUACGUG